GUAGGUGGCAAGCGUUGUCCGGAAUUAUUGGGCGUAAAGCGCGCGCAGGCGGUUCUUUAAGUCUGAUGUGAAAGCCCACGGCUCAACCGUGGAGGGUCAUUGGAAACUGGAGAACUUGAGUACAGAAGAGGAAAGCGGAAUCCACGUGUAGCGGUGAAAUGCGUAGAGAUGUGGAGGAACACCAGUGGCGAAGGCGGCUUUCUGGUCUGUAACUGACGCUGAGGCGCGAAAGCGUGGGGGAGCAAACAGGGAUUAGAUACCCUGGUAGUCCACGCCGUAAACGAUGAGUGCUAAGUGUUAGGGGGGGUUUUCCGCCCCCCUUAGUGCUGCAGCUAACGCAUUAAGCACUCCGCCUGGGGAGUACGGCCGCAAGGCUG
Molecule: ribosomal RNA, 377 nt
Filed under: uncultured organism
Description: partial 16S ribosomal RNA
Rfam family: Bacterial small subunit ribosomal RNA
Source: RNAcentral